Molecule: ribosomal RNA, 433 nt
Filed under: uncultured bacterium
Lineage: Bacteria
Description: partial 16S ribosomal RNA
Rfam family: Bacterial small subunit ribosomal RNA
Source: RNAcentral
AACGAACGCUGGCGGCAUGCCUAACACAUGCAAGUCGAACGAGACCUUCGGGUCUAGUGGCGCACGGGUGCGUAACCCGGUGGAACCUGCCCUUAGGUUCGGAAUAACUCCCCGAAAGGGGUGCUAAUACCGGCUAAUGUAUUCCGUCCAAAGAUUUAUCGCGUUUGGAUGGGCCCGCGUGGGAUUAGCUUGUUGGUAGCGUAAAAGCGUAUCACGGCGACGAUCCAUAGCUGGUCUGAGAGGAAGAGCAGCGACACUGGGAGUGAGACACGGCCCAGAAUCUUGGGGGAUGCGGGAGUGGGGAAUAUUGGAAAGUGGGGGAAAGCCUGAUGCAGUAAUGCCGCGUGAGUGAUGAAGGCCUUAGGGUUGUAAAGCUCUUUAAUCCGGGAUGAUAAUGACAGUACCGGGAGAAUAAGCACCGGCUAACUCCGUG